RNAcentral lists this long non-coding RNA (2713 nucleotides) under Lupinus angustifolius (narrow-leaved blue lupine). RNAcentral describes it as "long non-coding RNA (LANG_LNC000398)". The record is from RNAcentral. Lineage: Eukaryota; Viridiplantae; Streptophyta; Magnoliopsida; Fabales; Fabaceae.
UUUCAUCUUUUUUAUGGCCAUCCUCUUCCAAGUUCCAAUCUUUUGUGUACUCUGAUUUCAACUUAAGCUUUUUUGCAUUGAUACCCACAAGUAGAGAGAGAAAACUACACGUAAAAAUGGCGACUUUGAAUGUUUUCUCUCAGACAUGCCAACCUUGUUGUACAAUAAUUUCACCUUUCGUGCCUUGUUGUAACACUAACAACUAUGGCUAUUAUGCCCAUAAUAAUAGUAAUAAUAAUUCUAACAAUUGUAAAUUUCAGUUGACUACCCACUUCUCAAAAUCAGGUACUUUUUCUUCACUUUAUUGUCUCUUUGUCUUCUUUUUUAAUUCCGGUGUGUAUAUGUGUUUAUAUAUAUAUAUAGUAGCUACUAACAACAAGUGUUGGUCUAGUAGUGUAAGACAGCUAAAUCCCAGAACGACCAAAAUGUAGGGUUUGAUUCCUGGGAGUGAGCCGAAUCAACUCGAUAUUCGUUCGAAACUCGAUUGGUUAUUUAGAUCGAGAAACUUGGUUCAUGAACCAAAUGAGUUGAUUUUGAGCAUGAAAUUAAGCUCGUUAAAUAAUUAAUGAGUUGACUCGAUAUAUAUAUUUAUAUAAUCUAUUUUUUAUGAUACAUGUAUUACUUUUAUAUUUAUUGUUAUUAUAUAUAUAAAAAAAAUUAUAUUUAUAUGUAUAAACAAUAUUUCUUUAAAAAUAAUUAAUUAUUUGAGUUAAUGAACCAAUUCAAUUUGAGUCAAACAGUACACGAACUUUAACCGAACCGAAUUUGAGCUAAAAAAAUAACUCGUAUCGAACUUGAGUCGAGUUUCAAGCUGAACUCUAGUUAGACUCUGUUCAGCUUAUUUCCAACCCUACCUGAGAGUGACACUUGUUGGGAGGGGUAGUCACGUAUCCCGAAAGGUGAGGAGUACUCUUGGUACUGCAAAAAAUAGUAGCUACUUAGUGAGAACACUUUUUUAUUGUAAGAGAUUAGAAAGAUGAAUCUUGACAAUUGAAUCCUAUUUGAAUCAUUAAAAUUAGAAGUUAAUUGCAUUCCACUUCUUUUUUAAGUGGUUAUGUAUGAUUAAGUAACUUAAUCUUGGUUAUGCCAAUAUGGUCAAGAUUGAUUGUUAUCACAUUCUUAAAAAGCAAAGUGUUCUCUAACUACUAAAUGACAUUUCACUUGAAGAUGAAUGAGUGAAUUGAGCUAUUAUAUGUGUAUUCAGAUUAUUAAAUGUAAUUUGAGUUGAAGAUUUUCUGAUAACUCUUGAGUUUGCUUGAUAAUUGAUGCAAUUCAGCUCACUUUGUCAUAUUCAUACCACAGAUUAUUUGGCCUUCAAUUUUGACUCACCUUCUAUGAUCCUUCAGUCAUAAAUAGGAGUAAAAAAAUGAAAUGAGCAUUAGAAGCUUCAUUCUCAUCUUCAGCAGAUACAUUAUAUGUGCUUAUACUGUUGGAAUUUAUUUGCUUAAUCUUUGAUUUUCAAUAACAAUUCUUCAUGCAGGAAGUGGAAUUUCAUGGCUGCAAAACAGUUCUAGUGCUACCAGCAUUGAGUACAGGAGGUGUCCUCUAUAUUCCAAGUUUCCUACACAACCUGCUGACGUUGCCUCGGUCGAAGACCUUUUUGAAUUUAUUUGCUCAGGACCUUUGCUCGACAAAAUAGGCGUGACGCAAGAGAAGGUGGCUGACUCCAUAGAUAAGUGGUUAUCAUAUGGUCGGUAUAUAUGCCAGUUGUUUCAACUUAAUGAGCUGUACCUAACUGAGCCUCAAAAAGCUCGAGUUUAUCACUACUAUAUACCAGUCUUUAUAUGGUGUGAAGAUCAGAUUGUUCAGCAUCAGUCCAAGUUCAACGAAGAAGACGAAAUACCUCCUUUAGUUGUAUAUUUUCGGAUUCCUCCCUUCCAUGAUUCUCUAUCUCCUAUAGUUUGUUUUCUGCGUGUAUUUAUGUAAUGCAGUUUAAUAUGAAGGGUGCAUAAGCUAUAAGCGCGACCAAAAUUAUUCGGAUUUUUUAAUUGUUGAAGGGAUUCAUAAAUAUCUUUUCACUUUUAUGACUCAGAUUGGAUUUAGUGCUCCUCAAGGAUGUGGAAAGACAACCCUUGUUUUUGCUCUUGACUAUCUUUUCCAAAGAACUGGCAGGUAGGCCCUGAAUUUUGACGCAACGCUACAAGAUAGAAUAAUAUAUCAUUUUCCUAAAUUAAAACAUCAGCUCAACUCCUCCCCAAUAUUAGAUAAUGGGGUAAUGAGUUAUCAAAUAUAAAAUUUAUAAUUUAUUUUAUUUGAAAUUAAGUUAAAAUUAAAAUUGUUGAAUUUUUUUUUUUGCCUAUUUUAUAAUCGUAAUAUGGGAAUAUACAUACAAAAUCCAUAGUAGGACACCUCUUAUCUUAAUUUGUCGGCUCUGGAUUUUGUAAAUUAAAUUAAAAGUAAUGAUUUGAAGUUAAGGACAAACAUAAAUUUGUUUUAUUCUUUCAUCUUUUUUAUGGCCAUCCUCUUCCAAGUUCCAAUCUUUUGUGUACUCUGAUUUCAACUUAAGCUUUUUUGCAUUGAUACCCACAAGUAGAGAGAGAAAACUACACGUAAAAAUGGCGACUUUGAAUGUUUUCUCUCAGACAUGCCAACCUUGUUGUACAAUAAUUUCACCUUUCGUGCCUUGUUGUAACACUAACAACUAUGGCUAUUAUGCCCAUAAUAAUAGUAAUAAUAAUUCUAACAAUUGUAAAUUUCAGUUGACUACCCACUU